RNAcentral lists this small RNA (511 nucleotides) under Aspergillus niger. Its description in RNAcentral is "eukaryotic LSU rRNA". The stretch from base 187 to 340 matches the Rfam family "5.8S ribosomal RNA". The record is from RNAcentral. Lineage: Eukaryota; Fungi; Ascomycota; Eurotiomycetes; Eurotiales; Aspergillaceae.
CCGAGUGCGGGUCCUUUGGGCCCAACCUCCCAUCCGUGUCUAUUGUACCCUGUUGCUUCGGCGGGCCCGCCGCUUGUCGGCCGCCGGGGGGGCGCCUCUGCCCCCCGGGCCCGUGCCCGCCGGAGACCCCAACACGAACACUGUCUGAAAGCGUGCAGUCUGAGUUGAUUGAAUGCAAUCAGUUAAAACUUUCAACAAUGGAUCUCUUGGUUCCGGCAUCGAUGAAGAACGCAGCGAAAUGCGAUAACUAAUGUGAAUUGCAGAAUUCAGUGAAUCAUCGAGUCUUUGAACGCACAUUGCGCCCCCUGGUAUUCCGGGGGGCAUGCCUGUCCGAGCGUCAUUGCUGCCCUCAAGCCCGGCUUGUGUGUUGGGUCGCCGUCCCCCUCUCCGGGGGGACGGGCCCGAAAGGCAGCGGCGGCACCGCGUCCGAUCCUCGAGCGUAUGGGGCUUUGUCACAUGCUCUGUAGGAUUGGCCGGCGCCUGCCGACGUUUUCCAACCAUUCUUUCCAGG